RNAcentral lists this ribosomal RNA (144 nucleotides) under Xanthomonas hortorum pv. vitians. RNAcentral describes it as "Xanthomonas campestris pv. vitians partial 23S ribosomal RNA". It matches the Rfam family "Bacterial large subunit ribosomal RNA", at positions 29 to 178 of the family's 2925-position model. The record is from RNAcentral. Lineage: Bacteria; Pseudomonadati; Pseudomonadota; Gammaproteobacteria; Lysobacterales; Lysobacteraceae.
UGCCUAGGCGGUCAGAGGCGAUGAAGGACGUGGUAGCCUGCGAAAAGUGUCGGGGAGCUGGCAACAAGCUUUGAUCCGGCAAUAUCCGAAUGGGGAAACCCACUGCUUCGGCAGUAUCCUGCAGUGAAUUCAUAGCUGCUGGAA